Molecule: long non-coding RNA, 147 nt
Organism: Etheostoma spectabile (orangethroat darter)
Lineage: Eukaryota; Metazoa; Chordata; Actinopteri; Perciformes; Percidae
Exons: 3
Source: RefSeq, a predicted model, not a curated record
AUUUAAAAAAGGAAGCAUUGGGCGCCCAGAUAGCUCAGUUGGUAGAGCAGGCGUCCAUAUAUAGGAGGUUUAUUCCUCGACACAGCGGGCCCGAGUUUGACUCUGGCCAUUUGCUGAGUGUCAUUCCCCCCUCUCUCUCUCUUUUCA